CAAUGGGACAGGCUCCACCGGCUAGGUCAUUACUCCGAGCUUCCAUGACAACCGAUCUUCGAUCGAGCUUCUAUAAUAAGCGGCCUCCUUUUAGCCUUCUGCAAGAAUCGGACUCCGUCCAAACUUCCACAGUGGAUGGAUUCCGGACGAGCUUCUACAACAGAUGAGCUCCAGUAGCUAGAUUUCUACAACGAUCGAUCGCCUCCGGUGUCUGCCGAACCUCCCCAGCCAUCAGCCCUCAAUAGUGUCAGUCGGACUUCCACAACGCCAUCCAGACUUCCACAGGAUCCCCAGACUCUUCCAGCGGACGGGCCUCCCCAACGCCAUCCGAAGUCCACCGCCAGCCGACCCUCUACCAAAUUCUUCAUGAAACUGGACUUCUCUGGCGGAUAAUCUUCAGACGAGCUUUGACAUCAGGCAAAUUCCAGACAGACUUCUCUAACAAUCGGUCUCC
This 454-nucleotide long non-coding RNA is filed under the name Elaeis guineensis (African oil palm). RNAcentral's name for it is "long non-coding RNA (EGUI_LNC034481)". Lineage: Eukaryota; Viridiplantae; Streptophyta; Magnoliopsida; Arecales; Arecaceae. The record is from RNAcentral.